Coregonus clupeaformis (lake whitefish) is the source of this 3040-nucleotide long non-coding RNA. RefSeq lists it as uncharacterized. The transcript has 3 exons. The record is from RefSeq and is a predicted model, not a curated record. NCBI's taxonomy places the organism in Eukaryota, Metazoa, Chordata, Actinopteri, Salmoniformes, Salmonidae.
UUCCAGCUCUUGGCGAUGUCGUGGUCAUAUAGCCUACAACAGGGCAAUAACAUCAGCAAGUCCGUUUCCAGAGAAUGGAUAUUUUGAGGACAGUCGGCGGUGCGUGAGCACCGGGGUCUCUCAGACUGGAAAACAUCGCAUUUAUCCAUAGAAAAAAAAGCUUUGGGGAAUCACUGGCACCGUGGCACGAGGGCUACACUGUUGCGUAGUUCUUGUUUUGGAGAAAACAACAUUUCAAGUUAUUUUGAAAGGAAAUGGUGCAAUUCGUCCCAAAGGAUAUUAUUUCUAAAUUUGGGGAUUGUGCAAUACCAGCGCAACUGAUCAAAAAUAGGGGCGGUGGUGGCGAACUUCAACUUCGCACGCAUCUCCAAUCUCUCCCAUACACUCCUCAUCAAGCGAGGGUUUUGCGCGAAGUCAUCUUGCUGUCCAACGGAUGCGGACGAGAGACAUCACGGAUCCUACCGCGUUGCGCGUUUAUGCUCAACAUGUUUGUGACAUUGAAGAAUAUCAGGUUCAGACCGUCUAGAGGCCUUGUGAUCCGACUGAGCCCUGGCUUUGUGGGAUAGUCUAGGACUCCAGCAUAAAGAUAAUGAGACAGUCACGAGUUGUUUGCCAGAUGGCUUCCAUGGAGUUUCUCAGCCUCCACCAAAUAGGGAAUUGCCAUUGACAGCAAGUAAACAACCAGAACACCAACUGCCGCCAAUGUGAACGUCUUAAGGUAGGAGCUAUCUUUGGUAGCAAGCGUCUCUGCUACAUUCAAAACUACGGAUGCAGUUAUCAGGUAAAAACGACAUCCUCCUUACACUACCUCUCAAACUCUUUCACAACCCAAACUCAACUCUUACAAUCUUUAUCCCAAAUGUUGAAUUAACAUUGAAUGAAUGUAUUCUCACUGUAUACAUAUUAUCCGUAUAGGCUGGGUUAAAGGUCAUAAAGCAUCCAGUGACAGGUGGAAAUGAAGACCACACAGCCUGAUGAGAUCAAGUUGAAGAGGGAGGACAUAUUGAACUUGUGGGUCAUAGGUCAAAGGCUGAACUCUCUCCCUCUCCCCCGCUCUCUUUCACUCUCACCUUUCUCCUUCCCUCUACCCCACUAUUUCCUUAUUUGCAUCUCUCUAUCUCUCUCACACACACACACACACACACACACACACAGCCUGGCAGUUAGUUUCUCCAUAUGUUUUGACUAUGUGCUACCUGAGCUGGUCUGUGCUGUGGGCCUGUGGGAGGUCUCUGGCAGGCAGCAGUAUCAGGUUGGAGGGAGGCUUGGUGGUCUGUGUGUGACAUGGAGAAGGGCCCACCGGCACCGCAGCAGCACCACUGAGGCCACCCUGCCAGGGCCUCUGCUUACAGUCACUGUGAGUUACGACCAUUGCUCCUCACUCACUCACUCACACACACACACGAUACACGCUGACAGUCGCAUACACACACACAGAGGCGAAUGGCCCCCCCUACUAGCAGCCAUACACACCGCAGACACACACACGCUGAGGCGAGACAUACUCCUACCAGGAGCUUAAGCCCUCUCUGAGAAAGCCCAUUCCCACUGGGCUUGUUAAAGACAGGCCAUGUAGAAAGAGCACAUUUAAAUCCCACACAUCAAAUACAGGGGCAAUGUAAUGUGUAGCUAAUAGCUCUCUGUGCAUUUACACACACACACACACACACACACACUGAAUAACCCCCACCAGGGGCCAGACACACACAUAGAUGAAUGAUCCUUAACAGAGGACACACACACAAACUCCCACUCCCAAAGCCCUUAAUCACAGGCGUGUACAGGCCCAGCAUACAUGUUUAUGUCCACAGAUCAAUCCAGCUGAUCCAGCAGCAGCCCGACCUUUACCUGACAGAUCAACAAAGCUCUCUCUCUCUCUCUCUCUCUCCCUCUCUGAAAUGCUUUACUUUAAAACGUAAGCUUUUGCUAAUUAAAUCAAUGCAAUUGUCUUGUUGUUUGUUCUACAGCAAGGAGAAAAUCCCCUGAAGGUGUAUAUGUGUUUUUAGUGUAGUCGCGGGUGUUGUGUGCAUAUGUGUAUUUGUGUGUGUCUGAAUGUAAUACAGUAUCUCAUGCAACAAUCACAGGAUGGAAUGCUCCUUGGUCCACAGGAGAGGAUGGAUGGAGAGUGGCUGGAUGGAGAGAGGCUGGAUGGAGAGAGGAUGGAUGGAGACUAAAGAUGGAUGGAUGGAGGAUAAAGACUAGAGAUGGAUGGAGAAAGGAUGGAUGGAGAGAGGCGUGGGUGUGGAUGAAUGGUCCCAGGGAGGUGAGCGGAGGCCCUGCAGUACUAAAAGCCGGCGACCCAGACCAUACACACCCACUCACAGGGACCUAACACCACUCACAGGAUUGCUCCCUGGUCCACUGCUCCCACAUGCUAAAACACUUACAUACAAUACACACACACAAAGAUGGCAAAAUGCUAAAUGUGAAGUUCCAAGCACAUUCAAAAUACAUUCCCGAGACACAGACUACCAGUCAGUCAGAGACAUAAACACACGUUCUUGUGUGUGUGUUGUUGCCAUGCGAUGGUGAUGAGCAGCACAUGACAUGAAUGGGGCGUGGAGCUCAACCUCUUAUCAGACAAAGGAGAUACACAGAGAGGAGGGGGGAGAGAAGGGUGGGAGGAGGAGGGAAGGGGAGAGGAGGACGAGAGGGGAGGAGAGGAGAAGGGAGUGUAAGGGGGAGGAGGAGGGGAGAGGAAGGGGAUGUGCCGCCCCAAACUGCAGUCAUGAGUUCUCCAUCCCGUUCGACAUGCCGAGUCCCGUGGGGAAAAGGCCAUAAAAACUUUGAGCUGGAGCUAAAACCACCCUCACACACAGUCAAGAGUCACAACACACACACACAGGAACGGGACUGCGUAAAUCAAUGCCAUUCGCCCCGGGAGUACCCCUUUUGCUUUGAGUUGAGGAAGUCCAGACAAGUUAUUUCCACACACACGCUGUUCAUGUGACCCCACAAAUUCACUUCCUUUUCUGUAUGUCUUGACCGAAAAUGUGACUGAAAUGUUGCGUUUGUCAAUAAAAUGAUUGAUUUGCAAGUA